ACGAAAGCUGGCGGCGUGCUUAACACAUGCAAGUCGAACGGAAAGGCCCUGCUUUUGUGGGGUGCUCGAGUGGCGAACGGGUGAGUAACACGUGAGUAACCUGCCCUUGACUUUGGGAUAACUUCAGGAAACUGGGGCUAAUACCGGAUAGGAGCUCCUGCUGCAUGGUGGGGGUUGGAAAGUUUCGGCGGUUGGGGAUGGACUCGCGGCUUAUCAGCUUGUUGGUGGGGUAGUGGCUUACCAAGGCUUUGACGGGUAGCCGGCCUGAGAGGGUGACCGGCCACAUUGGGACUGAGAUACGGCCCAGACUCCUACGGGAGGCAGCAGUGGGGAAUAUUGCACAAUGGGCGGAAGCCUGAUGCAGCAACGCCGCGUGCGGGAUGACGGCCUUCGGGUUGUAAACCGCUUUCGCCUGUGACGAAGCGUGAGUGACGGUAAUGGGUAAAGAAGCACCGGCUAACUACGUG
This 467-nucleotide ribosomal RNA is filed under the name uncultured bacterium. RNAcentral describes it as "partial 16S ribosomal RNA". It matches the Rfam family "Bacterial small subunit ribosomal RNA", at positions 29 to 507 of the family's 1533-position model. The record is from RNAcentral.